This is a small nucleolar RNA of Acomys russatus (golden spiny mouse), 127 nucleotides long. RefSeq annotates it as small nucleolar RNA SNORA17. NCBI's taxonomy places the organism in Eukaryota, Metazoa, Chordata, Mammalia, Rodentia, Muridae. The transcript has a single exon. The record is from RefSeq and is a predicted model, not a curated record.
ACUGCUCCUUGUGGCAUUGCAAGUGUGGCUGCCAUGUCAAUGUGCAUCAGGACGUGGCUUAGAGGAGAAAGGCUGUGUCUACAGUGCUCUAACUUGUGAACAUCUGAAUAAUUAUUAGCCUAACAAA